AAAAUGCGAUACUUGGUGCGAAUUGCAGAAUCCCGUGAAUCAUCGAGCUUUUGAACGCAAGUUGCGCCUGAGGCCUCUCGGCCGAGGGCACGCCUGCCUGGGCGU
RNAcentral lists this ribosomal RNA (105 nucleotides) under Trithuria filamentosa. RNAcentral describes it as "partial 5.8S ribosomal RNA". It matches the Rfam family "5.8S ribosomal RNA", at positions 50 to 152 of the family's 154-position model. From Rfam's summary of the family: 5.8S ribosomal RNA (5.8S rRNA) is a component of the large subunit of the eukaryotic ribosome. The record is from RNAcentral. RNAcentral also lists the same sequence under 1 other name. Lineage: Eukaryota; Viridiplantae; Streptophyta; Magnoliopsida; Nymphaeales; Hydatellaceae.